CCCUUAGAUGUUCUGGGCCGCACGCGUGCUACACUGAGUGGAUCAGCGGGUCAGGUUGCGCGAAAGCGUUUCCUAAUCUUUAAAUCCGCUCGUGAUGGGGAUUGACGGUUGCAAUUUUCUGUCAUGAACGAGGAAUACCUUGUAAGCGCGGGUCAUCAUCCCGCGCUGAAUACGUCCCUGCCCUUUGCACACACCGCCCGUCGCUCCUACCGAUUGAGUGGUCCGGUGAGGCUUUGGGAUCUGAGCGGAAAGAGCGUUUCGCUGUUUCUGCUCGGAGAACUCAGUCGAACCUUAUCAUUUAGAGGAAGGAGAAGUCGUAACA
This 322-nucleotide ribosomal RNA is filed under the name uncultured eukaryote. Its description in RNAcentral is "partial 18S ribosomal RNA". It matches the Rfam family "Eukaryotic small subunit ribosomal RNA", at positions 1470 to 1796 of the family's 1831-position model. The record is from RNAcentral.